GCUGUAUAAUUUACAUGUGGUGACUCAUGCAUGGCUGAACAUGCUUACAAACAUUGAUCGUGCAUGGUUGAACUUGAUCAUAAAUAUUGCCAUAUUUGGUUUGUGUACAAGAAACAAUUUUGUACACAAUGUUGUGUGCUUCAUACAUAGCUUAGUCCUGAUUCAAUUGAAUCUUUGUAAUGAAUCUAUUUGUUUUUAUGAGUAUCUGUUUAGUUUUUUUGUUAUUAAAAUUG
This 233-nucleotide long non-coding RNA is filed under the name Mytilus galloprovincialis (Mediterranean mussel). Lineage: Eukaryota; Metazoa; Mollusca; Bivalvia; Mytilida; Mytilidae. The record is from RNAcentral.